RNAcentral lists this ribosomal RNA (351 nucleotides) under uncultured Lactobacillus sp. Its description in RNAcentral is "bacterial SSU rRNA". It matches the Rfam family "Bacterial small subunit ribosomal RNA", at positions 192 to 526 of the family's 1533-position model. The record is from RNAcentral. Lineage: Bacteria; Bacillati; Bacillota; Bacilli; Lactobacillales; Lactobacillaceae.
AGCUUUUAAAAAAGGACGGCGUAAGCUGUCGCUAUGGGAUGGCCCCGCGGUGCAUUAGCUAGUUGGUAAGGUAAAGGAGUUACCAAGGCGGAUGAUGCAUAGCCGAGUUGAGAGACUGAUCGGCCACAUUGGGACUGAGACACGGCCCAAACUCCUACGGGAGGCAGCAGUAGGGAAUCUUCCACAAUGGACGCAAGUCUGAUGGAGCAACGCCGCGUGAGUGAAGAAGGUUUUCGGUAUCGUAAAGCUCUGUUGUUGGUGAAGAAGGAUAGAGGUAGUAACUGGCCUUUAUUUGACGGUAAUCAACCAGAAAGUCACGGGCUAACUACGUGCCAGCAGCCGCGGUAAAAA